AUGAGGAAAAAUUUAUUGGAAUUUAUGAUUACAACUUAUGAUAGUAGUAGAAAGCGAUUUAUUAUUCGUCCAAAUAUUGACGGCAUCAGUGUUUUUAAUGAAGAUGUUUAUGACAUAUUCGGGCUACGUAACGAGGGUGAUGAUGUCAUUAGCAUGAUAGCAACAGUACAACUAGAUGCCAAAAAAAUUGUUCCAAAUCGGUUUCUAGACAAAAGAACAGGCCUAAUCCUCAUCGAUGAGUUGAUAAAAAAUAUUGUUGAUACUCAGUCAUAUGAUGAUGAUUUUGUGAGAAGGGCGGUAUUGGUUCUUUUGGGUACAGUCUUAGCACCACAAUCCACCAAGUUUGUUCCUUAUCGUUAUUACAAAAUGGUGGAGGACGUGAACGCUAUCAAGUCAUACAAUUGGAACGAUUUCACGUUGGGGGUGUGCAUGGAUGCUAUUAAAAAAUCAGUCGAAGAUCUUGAAAAAUUCAAGUGGCCUAUCGGGAACUUGGCUCUUCUUCAGUAUAUAUACUGGGAAAAAGUUGAGCCAAUUGGUGUGGAUACAUUUGAUCCAUUGUCUCGUGAAUACCCACUAAUGCUUAACUGGCCAGAAACGGAAGGGAAAAAGCGAGACGACUAUGACAACAUGCACGGGCGUGGCACCGGCAAUAUUGAAAACUGCGUUAGUGAAGAGUACAGACGUGCUAAGGUAGCAUGUGAAGGGACUGUCCCUGAGGAAGAAACGAAGAAACCUAAACGGAAACGUGGUGCCAGGAGUAGAAAGCCAAGCAUGUCUGCAGUUUCCUCGAGCACGACUUAUAGUAUGGACCGUGUGAUGACAUACAUAAAGCUGCUUCACAAGGAGAUGGUAAUGGAAAGGUUGAACACGAAUGGUGUGUUGUACAAACCCAAUAAGAGGGACAACAAUGACGAAUUUGAUAAUGUAGGUGAAAGAGUUGGGAUGGAGAAUGGCCAGUACAAGUCAUCAAAAUAUUGGCCAGAUAUUGAUUCACCUACCGACGUAAAGAUAGAAACAUCUUUCACGGGUAUCAAUGAUACAUCCGUGCCCGUUGAUGACACGGGUGCUCCGGCAACGACACCGGGUAAAGGUGAAGCUACUGAUCCUUUCAUUAUAGACGAUAAUGGAAACUCUCCAUCUUCGGCAUCAACUGUACGUACAAAACACUUUCCUUCUAUGUCCCGAACCCCGCAGAAUGCUGAUAUUUCCGGUGAGUCUAUGGAUGCUUUGUCACCAACUAAGCCUGAAGACACGUCCGAGAGUUACCUGGCAGAGAGAAACAUAGGUAACGGUGAAGGCAGUCAGGAAAAUGAUGGUAAGCGCAAAAGAAAAAAGUCGAAAUAUUGCCAAUCCCCCUACGACAUUCUCGUUACCCGCAAGAAACAUGUUAAAAAAAAAUCUCUUUGCAUCGUCAUCACAUUCAAUUCUAGCAAGUUCUCUUAA
This 1443-nucleotide ribosomal RNA is filed under the name Triticum aestivum (bread wheat). Its description in RNAcentral is "partial small subunit ribosomal RNA". The record is from RNAcentral. Lineage: Eukaryota; Viridiplantae; Streptophyta; Magnoliopsida; Poales; Poaceae.